Long non-coding RNA from Cygnus olor (mute swan), 7846 nucleotides. RefSeq lists it as uncharacterized. Lineage: Eukaryota; Metazoa; Chordata; Aves; Anseriformes; Anatidae. The transcript is spliced from 12 exons. The record is from RefSeq and is a predicted model, not a curated record.
AUUUAGGUCUUACUGUUAUUACAGGCUGUCAUUUGGAAAGCAUCUGAUUGAGAAGAGGGUGGAGCUGAUCUGUUUGUGGCUAGGAUGACUGACAGUAUUUUGCUUUUCAGAGUCCUUGUGGGUGGGGACAAAGCACUUGACUGUGGGAAGAGAAGUUAAGUAGAGCAACAGAUAUCAACUCUUCUCCCUCUCUGCAGAAAUGGUUUAGCACCAAGAAGAAGUUGUAUUCUUUUUUGGAGGCCGAUGAGUUAGGAAACAAGCUCUUCAUAUCUUACUUGAAGUGUUCCUUGAGCUUGACUGAGCUAGAGAAGAGAAAAUGAGCUAUCCUUGGCUGCAGAGGAGAGCAGACUGGGAACGGUAAUGGGGAGUCAAGAAACAUGCAGUGCAUUUAUACCAGGAUACCAGUCUGUCAAGCCUGUCUGCAAUCUCUGAAAUCUAAGAAAACCCUCAGCCUGAGAACUCGUACAUGCUUAACACUACAGCCAUGGCUGUAGACAGAAACUAGAUACCCUCAGGCAGUAAGACAUUUUCUCCUUCCACUGGGAGUUAAGCUGCUGCAGUCUAUAAGAUAGAGGCUUGCACAGGAGCAGUUACCAUCAGAUCUUAAUACAAAAAUGCAUGUACCAGACCUGGAAAAUGGCGGAAGAUCAACAACUAUGAUCAAAACUAAGGAAAAGCUUCCAUAAACGGAGCAAUCAAAUAGGCUGGAACUUGACACAGAGAAGAGACACCUGAAAGGGGAGUAUUCUAGAAGUCUGGUCUGUGUGUGUCAGAGCAUGAGUAGAUAACAAUCCUUUAUACAUUAUCUUUCCCAGAACAGGUAAUGGGAGAGUCUGAAAUAAAGCUAGUAGCAGCCAAGAUGAAAUCAAAGGCUCAUAUGCAAUGAGUUAAGCAUUGUGUGGAACUUACGCCAUGCUGUGCUGUGAAUUCAGAGAGGUUUGUAUGUUCAAAAGGAACCUGAUAAAGCGCUAGAAGUCUAUUGAAUCUUACUAAGUAGAAAGAAAACGUAUCUGGAUCAAGAAGUCUGAGCAGAAAAUGAAGUCUGGGGAAGCAUUAUGGGGCAUCCUACAUCUUAGUUCUGUCUUUGACUUUCCUUAGGGUUAGCUCAUGGAUUCUGUUGUGUUUAGAAAAGAAACAAAGAAAAUGUCCCAUGCCAAAGCAGGGAGGAAGCGUAGAGAAGUAGACUUAUGGAAAACCAGGUGCUCACAGGACCAAAAAGUGGAAGAAGUGAAGGGGAUGGGGAUACUAGUGAAAAGUACAUAAAUGUGAAAUAUAAUAGGAAAUGUAAAAAUAAGGAGGGUGAUGUUGGGCAUGGAGUAGAACACUCAAAUAAUGCUGACUACUCCUCAUAGAUGUGAGACAUCUCAAAUUUAUUCAUUUAUAGACUGCUUGGGAUAUGGCUGGUGAGGAACAAAAAUAUUUUUUACAGUAAUCAGGAUCUUUGUGGUGCUGCCUGUGAUGGACUGCGUGGCCAAGGCCAGAAGGGAGGACCUGCAACAUGAUUGGACCUCAGCUGAUGGUCUGUAAAUAGAAAGGGAAAGGUAGUGCUGAAGUCUGGUUCUCCUCCACAACUACUCCGAAGUCCUGGCCCCAGUUCAUCUGAGUUAGCGGCUGGCGAGAGGUCAGUGGAACUGUGGCAGGGCCGUCUCCUGAUGGGUGAUGGUGAUCUCUGCGGAGGACAGAUGCCCUGCCUGCUAUCUCCAGCUGCGACACCACACCUCUUGUUGGCAUGAAUGAAGUUUUUGCUGAAAAGGUGACCUGAGACACCACCAUGUGCAGUGGGUGCCUUGGGACCUGUGUCACAAGAAACACGUAGUCAGUGUGUCAACAGGAUUGCUCACAAGUCAUGCACUUAGUGCCAGCUCCUUCACCUCCCCUCAGAGGAAGGACUUGACAGCGAUUGCGGAGAGGUGGCCAUGCAAAGAAAGCUGUUAUGCCUUUCUUUGCCAGUGUUUGUGUGCUAAAUGGAGGGGAGAGAGUACUCCACCAGAUAGAUGGAAGCUGUCAAAGAUGCUCUGGCUCAGGAUGACCAUGCAAGUCUGGACUGAACAGAUCAUACGUCAUAGCACAGACAGCAAGUGGCCAGUCAUCCAGCCAGUCAUGCCUCUGCUGCAUUUAGCCUGUUAAAUUGAAGGAGUCUAGGUGGAAUUCCAUCUCCAGAGAGAUGUUUUUCCACCUAAAAUUCUGCAUCCCCGCUUGGAGAUUUUGAGUUAACAAGUUGAAACCCAUGGCAAAUGUGCCAUUAACUUCAACGUGGAAACAGCCUUAUCAGCUAACAAUGACAAGCUGUAUCAAGAAGACACCCUGUUGUCAUCCAGAGCCCGAGACAAGCCUGGGCCAGCUAUGCACAGAACAAAAUAUUGAAAAGAACUGUCCUUUGGUGGUCACAUGCUAGCAAGUCUUCCUUUUAAUGUUGGAGCAGCCUCCCACCUGCUGGGUCACACCUUCCUCUGCAUGUAGGAUGGAAGGAGCCUUGCUGGGUCACUGAGUCUAGGCUUCUGCCAGUGCAGGCAUCCACGUCAUAUAGUCCCUUUCACAUCUCUGCUAAAAACUUCUGCAUGGGGCAUUAUCACUUCAAUCUUUGUAACGAUAAGAGAUUAAAGCUUUUUCUGUGCUUCUGCUGUGUUCCAGCUUUAUAGGGCAAUUUCAUUUUAUCUACAGUACUACUAAUAAUCUUUGCCCGUUACUAAAGGACAGCCAGCUUCAGAAGACAAGGCAACAAUUCACAGGAAGUCAAGAUUCUACAGUUUCUUUAGCAAUUUGAGGGCAGAAGGUAGAUCUUUGGCUUAAAGACACAGGUGUAAGUAGAAGUGGAGGCAAAAAAAAGAGAAAAGUCAGUGUUCCUCUUUGGUAUUGCAACAAUGGAUUCUCCUGCAGCUCUGCUGCUUGGUGGCAUUGCACUGUGGAUCUCUAGGUCUUCUCAGGAAACACGGUCAAGCAGCACGCAAUCUUUCUACCACAGAACUGCUCUCUAUAUGUAACGCAUUUCCUGACAACUCCAGUAAGAGACAGCAUGGCCUGCAGUGUGAAAAGCAGUGAUGUGGUAGUACUGAAACCCAGAAGUAAAUGUCAUGUUCAUUCAAAAUGUUCAGAAAGAAAAAUCAAAAGAGAUAUAUGCAGUUGUUGGACAGUGAAUGGAGGAAGCAGAACGAUACAAUACAAAAUGCUGCCUUUGUUCAUUCAUUAACGCUAAUGAAGAGAGGGAACAAAAGUUAGAAGAGAGUUGCUUUGAUGUUACAGUAUCAGUGCUAUCAAACAAGUUAAAACCAAACCAUUACAGGUUCAAGAUGGACAAGUCUGGUGCAGAUUAUGCUGCAGUCUCUGGCAACGUGUGAGUUGCAUAACUAACUACUCCGCUGGCUUUUGGACAUUCCUAUAGCCUGACAUGCUUUGCAUAGUGAUCAGCAUGACAUUACAGCCUGUGUUUCACUAUCAAAAUUAAAGGCUUGAUAUGGAUUAUUUUGGAAGUCACUCUCCAGGUUUAGUGAGGCUGCUGUGCUGGUGUGGGAUCUCUGCAGCUGUACAACUGUUCCCCUGUUAUGUGGUCUGGAGCAAACGAUGGGGCACAGAUGGUGAGGGACUAUGGCCUCUUUCCCCUCCUCUCCAGCAAGUCUGCACUGAAUUUUACCUUCCUCACAAAUACAUUCUACAUUAAGUUAUCUUUAAAAUCAAAUGCAGCUUUUCACUUUUUAUUAUGCUUUACCUUUGGGCAUGUCUUGGUAGAAGCAGAUGACUGAGUACUGCUUUUAUUUCUAACUAGUUUCACUUUCUGGUUCUCAUGUAUUACCAAAAUAUUGCAGUCUUUUGAUUGAACCAGUCUUCAUAUAUGUGUAAAAGUUUACGUGCAUACUCAGUUGUUGGUAGAAUUAUUUAAUGAUAAUACUGGUUUAAAGUUCUGUAAACUCAUUAACAUUGUUCUCCUGCCACGGUUUUUGUUUCCCAGGCCCAGGAACUGUCAUGUCAUACCAUGCUAGGGCGCUUCUGUAGUACAGCAAGAUCUGGUGAGGGCAGAGCAGCAGCGUGAGAAUGCACUGGAGGAUGUGGUCUACCUUCCCUUGAAGUGACUCCACGUACCAGCUUGCAGACCAGCUUCUAUGUACACCACUGUGAUGAGUGCUGCGAGCCACUGGAUCAGACAUCACAUGCCGUUUACACUUCAGCUCCUGCAGCAGAAAAGACACUGCAGUGUCAUGCUGCAUAGCCAAAGGGAAGGCUGAGGCCAGAGCCACCUCUGCAAAUCUCUGGAUGUAGUAAUGCAAGUGCUUUCUUCAGCAGCAAAGCCAUUUAAAGAACUUGCUACUCCAGGGCACCACCACUGUUGUGGCUCUGCAUCACAGUGUAUCACACUGUCAGGAGCCUCUGUUAAAGCUGCUUGGAUCAAUGAAAUGAUCCAGGUUAAAAAUCCCUCUCGGAAACAGCUUGAGAGUUUGUUUUGCUUUGUUUUAACCAGAAUCAUUUCACUAUCAAUUCUACUUUCUCCUUAGCACAACUGGCAGAUUUACAAACAGCAGUGAGUUGCUAGAAGUCAGAAACUCCUCUUCUACUGGCUCUGUUGCUGAUCAAAACCAUGGAUCGCCUACGCAACAAGUACCUCCUUAGCACACAAGGCUGAGGGGGCCAGUGAGUAUCACUGAGCAACAGCAUUCCAGGAACAGCACUUCAGUGCCAGUGCAAACAGAAUUAAGUCCUUUAGUUGUGGCUGAAAUAUGGUUUCUGACAGAAUCAUUUCAAGGAAGAGGAUUUAGGAAAUCUUAAACUCUGCAGACUGGUCUCUAUUUAAAACUUGCAGGUCAGCACCUUAAGCGAACCUUGGAAAAACUAUUGUGUGAUCAGUCAUCGCACUGAAGCAGCAGCACCCGUUCGGUAAAGGCAGUCUUGGAUAAAAAGCUGAAUGCUGUGGUUUCAGUGACUUAUCGUUGAAACCUUGUGGUUUCUGUGUAGGAGGUUAUACAAGCUGGACACGUUUUGACAUCCUUGUUUCUGAGCUGUGAAAUCUGUACAUCUAAUUUAUGAAAAUUAUCUCUGGUUUAAUUUUAUUCUUUUUUUUUAAUGAAGUCAACAUAUUUUCCCUGCAUUCAGUGGAAACAAUAAUGGAAAUGUUUUAAGAUAUACUGUGAACCUGUUUUGACCUUAAAAGGGAGGAGAAUCAAGAUAUUCUUGAUUAUGAUUAAGGUCUAGGAAGGAAAUAAAAAUUAAAUACAGGGAGUUGCAAGUGAGAAGAAAGUAUUUUUCAAGUGUGAAGAUAAAUAGAGAAAUUAGCUAUGGGAAGUCAGAUAAUUUAGAAUAAAACAUGAUACUGGUACUACUUAGGAUAACAUGCAAUAUCUGUGGGCUUUCAGAUGGUCUAAACACACUAGUAAAUUUAUACACAAGGCAAAUGCAAGACUAAUGGAUCUGCAGCAGAAACAGUUGAAAUCACACACACACAAACACAAUUCAUCACUAGAUCAGUUAACGUGCUUUUUUCUUUCCUAGUUUAGUUUACUGCUAAUUCCCAUGAAUUGGUUCAGUUCUUUGCCAGUUGAAAUGUGCUAAUGUUGGUGCAAAGGACAAAGCAGGUAUGCACAGCUGGAACUCGAAGGAGAGGAAAAUAUAUUUCUUGGCUUCUCUGUGCUGUGUAGUUGUAGAAGAAACGCGCCAUGUCUGCAUUGCCAAACUGGAUUUGUGAGAGUCAUGGACCCACCUGCAUUCCCAUCUCUUCCUUACUUGUCUGCUGCCUUCUGCUCUGGUGAGCACCUACCAUCAUGUAAAUCCCCAGAAAGCUGAGCUGUGGCAAUAAUGGAUACCCAAGUCUGUAAUACUGGCAAAUCAUGAUCCCUUCUCUGCCAUGAGCAGCAGAACCACACAGACUAACAGCAAGUUCUGCCUCUGUCAGGUAAGUUCCCAGAAGCACAGACACCAUUCCCUGUGCCCAAACAUGGUAAGUGAAUGUACGGAAACGUAUUUAAAAUGAUCAAAAACCUGAUCAAAGAACUAUUUUCUGAAUAGAAAGCAAAUGUGAAGAAAAAGAACAUGCAAGGUACAAAACAAAGUUUCUUGCUAAAAUGUAAAAAAAAAAUAGACUACCUAGGUGAAAAAUAACUACUCAGUGCAUUUGUGGGAGUACAAAAAUCUGUCUGGAAGCAUUAGUCAAAGAUUAUAUAAUACUUCUGUGUAAGCAGAGAUUGAAAGUGUGACCACCCACUAUCAAUUCACUUCAGGGAGGACCAGCAAGAUUCAUAGUAAUAAUUUUAAGUAAUUUCUAUAUCGAAAAAUCAGUAGAAAACAAUAGAUUUUAAUUGGUCCUGGUCAUUGGUCCUGAUAGACCUGUUCCUUUUCAUAAAGGGGAAAAAAUUUUUACUCUAAUAUUGUGCUGUUUACUGGAAAAUGUCUUGUCCUGCUUGUGUUUCUUUCCAGAAACCUGAGCCAAUAAUUAUUGUAGCUACAGCUGCAGAUAAGUAUACAAGAAAAUAAUAAAAUUACAGUCUGAAGUUACUUUUCUGUAUGAAUGGUGUUUUUCUUGCCUGUUAUUUAUGGGCAGACUUAACACUUGACAUGGGGUUCCUUGAGCAGACAGUGCUGUUUGUCUGAACUAACUUACAGGAAACUGAGAGAAAAACGAGGAUGCACUGAAGACACUAGUCCAAAUCAGUGGAGGCUAUUGAAAAUAAUAUUUUCCCACAUAAUUAUUUUAAAUGUGGAAAAUGCAGACAACCAAGGAAGAACCAACCAUCUUUUGAGCAUCCAAAAUUUACUCAGGUGCAAUAUGUUAAGAUUCACUAUUCCUCUCCAUAUAUCUGGAUUUUCAGUCCAUAUCCUGUUCCUCUAAUUAUCACAAGGAUUACACAGCUACUUUGUAAUUGAACUCGAGCAAAAACUGUAUUCCUGUUCUCUCUUUUGCUGUGUAACCAAGCCUACAGUUCUUCAGAUGCUUGGUUGGCAGCAUUUUUAGGUGGCUUCUUAGCCACUACGCUACCUUUCCACUUGCCUCUCUGGGGCUGCUGUCCUCCUACCCUAUGAGCCUGUUGCUGGCCAGGGAUAGACAGUGAUACACCAGCGCUGCACACCUUCACCAGGCAUGCCUCUCCCUUCCGGGACUGUCAUGGAUGUAGGGUGCUGCAGAGCAGAAACAGCAGCUUACAUCUCCCCUUCAUCAGACUUCAUCCCCCAGUGUUGAAGACCCAGCUCAAAAGCCACAGGAGGCUUUUUUUUCCCCCUUUUUCCAGUGCCAGCCACCCACCAGCUUUGUGUUUGCCUUUCAGGGAACAAACUCGCUCACUGAUGCAGCCAGAAACGAGCCGUGCUCUGGUAGGGAGCUGUUAGACUGGACCAGCCAUCCCAGUGGUCUGGGUACAGAGACCCUGUAGCAGCCAUGGUGCCUUCCCAGUGAGAUGUGCUUUUACCAGCUGAGGAACGCUGCUGUAGGCCAUGGGCAAAUGACUGAGGGGCCAGUGCUUCCAUUUAGCAUCAUGCAAGAAUGGCAAAUAUCUUACAGCUAAGGAAAACUCAUGUAUCAGAAAAGAAUGCAGCAAUGCAGAGUAAGCUCAGUGGCCUUUUAGAAAUAAAGAGUUGUUGCUCAGAGAAGCUGCCUCACGGGGACCUCCACCAGGCCAGGCAUUGUCCAAACCCUCGGUGCAAUGCAGUCUACUCCCCUCCAGGUGUUUUUCCAAAGUUAUUCCAAAAAGACUGCGAAGUAACCAAGCAUUGCUGCAAAGGAGCUGAGAAGUGGCCCAUGCUCCUCCCGAGCCCCGCUGCAGCUGGCAGCCCCCGGGGCAUGUUCCCUGCGUGCACACAUCCUGCAGAUGGGAAACCUGGCAGCUGAGAUUUCGCCCUGGAAUUGACACACCAGGCUUCUCCAAGUACCACA